GAAGUAGCGCAGUUUGGUAGCGCGCUUGCUUCGGGAGCAAGAAGUCAUGGGUUCAAAUCCCAUCUUU
RNAcentral lists this transfer RNA (67 nucleotides) under pig gut metagenome. It matches the Rfam family "tRNA", at positions 5 to 66 of the family's 71-position model. Rfam says of the family: Transfer RNA (tRNA) molecules are approximately 80 nucleotides in length. The record is from RNAcentral.